RNAcentral lists this ribosomal RNA (1253 nucleotides) under uncultured bacterium. RNAcentral describes it as "bacterial SSU rRNA". It matches the Rfam family "Bacterial small subunit ribosomal RNA", at positions 8 to 1272 of the family's 1533-position model. The record is from RNAcentral.
AGAGUUUGAUCCUGGCUCAGAUUGAACGCUGGCGGCAGGCCUAACACAUGCAAGUCGAACGGUAACAUUUCUAGCUUGCUAGAAGAUGACGAGUGGCGGACGGGUGAGUAAUGCUUGGGAACUUGCCUUUGCGAGGGGGAUAACAGUUGGAAACGACUGCUAAUACCGCAUAAUGUCUUCGGACCAAACGGGGCUUCGGCUCCGGCGCAAAGAGAGGCCCAAGUGAGAUUAGCUAGUUGGUAAGGUAACGGCUUACCAAGGCGACGAUCUCUAGCUGUUCUGAGAGGAAGAUCAGCCACACUGGGACUGAGACACGGCCCAGACUCCUACGGGAGGCAGCAGUGGGGAAUAUUGCACAAUGGGGGAAACCCUGAUGCAGCCAUGCCGCGUGUGUGAAGAAGGCCUUCGGGUUGUAAAGCACUUUCAGUUGUGAGGAAAAGUUAGUAGUUAAUACCUGCUAGCCGUGACGUUAACAACAGAAGAAGCACCGGCUAACUCCGUGCCAGCAGCCGCGGUAAUACGGAGGGUGCGAGCGUUAAUCGGAAUUACUGGGCGUAAAGCGCACGCAGGCGGUUUGUUAAGCUAGAUGUGAAAGCCCCGGGCUCAACCUGGGAUGGUCAUUUAGAACUGGCAGACUAGAGUCUUGGAGAGGGGAGUGGAAUUCCAGGUGUAGCGGUGAAAUGCGUAGAUAUCUGGAGGAACAUCAGUGGCGAAGGCGACUCCCUGGCCAAAGACUGACGCUCAUGUGCGAAAGUGUGGGUAGCGAACAGGAUUAGAUACCCUGGUAGUCCACACCGUAAACGCUGUCUACUAGCUGUGUGUGCCUUUAACGCGCGCGUAGCGAAGCUAACGCGCUAAGUAGACCGCCUGGGGAGUACGGCCGCAAGGUUAAAACUCAAAUGAAUUGACGGGGGCCCGCACAAGCGGUGGAGCAUGGUGGUUUAAUUCGAUGCAACGCGAAGAACCUUACCUACCACUUGACAUGCUGAGAACUUUCUGGAGAUAGAUUGGUGCCUUCGGGAACUCAGAACACAGUGCUGCAUGCUGUCGUCAGCUCUGUCUGGAGAUGGUUUGGUUAGUCCCGCACGAGCCACCCUUGUUCUUUAUUGGCAGCUAGUUGGGCUCCUACGGAACUGCCGGUGACAACCGAGAAAGAUGCACACGUACAGUCUCUAUGGCCUUACUGUAGUCACACCCUGCUCUCAUGCCAUUGUUCACAUAGGGUAGCGGGAACAGUAUUGUGGAGUGCGGAC